GGUCAGCUGACACAUCCCUGCCAAUCUCCAGCACACCCUCCCUCCCAGACCCUCCCACCUCCUGGACAGCAUCCAUGUUGAAGCUGCCUUCAACAUGGAUGUUGUCCAGGAAGUAGGAGGGUCUGGGAGGGAGGGUCUACCGGAGAUUGGCAGGGAUGUGUCAGCUG
This 167-nucleotide microRNA precursor is filed under the name Pelobates cultripes (western spadefoot toad). The record is from RNAcentral. Lineage: Eukaryota; Metazoa; Chordata; Amphibia; Anura; Pelobatidae.